RNAcentral lists this transfer RNA (73 nucleotides) under Dipodomys ordii (Ord's kangaroo rat). It matches the Rfam family "tRNA". Rfam says of the family: Transfer RNA (tRNA) molecules are approximately 80 nucleotides in length. Their secondary structure includes four short double-helical elements and three loops (D, anti-codon, and T loops). Further hydrogen bonds mediate the characteristic L-shaped molecular structure. tRNAs have two regions of fundamental functional importance: the anti-codon, which is responsible for specific mRNA codon recognition, and the 3' end, to which the tRNAs corresponding amino acid is attached (by aminoacyl-tRNA synthetases). tRNAs cope with the degeneracy of the genetic code in two manners: having more than one tRNA (with a specific anti-codon) for a particular amino acid; and 'wobble' base-pairing, i.e. permitting non-standard base-pairing at the 3rd anti-codon position. Lineage: Eukaryota; Metazoa; Chordata; Mammalia; Rodentia; Heteromyidae. The record is from Rfam by way of RNAcentral.
GGGGAUGUGGCUCAGUGGGAGAGCACUUGCUUGGCAUGAGCCAAGGCCCUGGGUUUGACACCCAGUAUCACCA